GGGGAUGUAUUGGCAUUCGACAGUAUUUAAGAAACACAUGUAGCGAGUAGUGGAUGGCUGCUUUGGCCACUAUAAAAAAGCAGAACUAAAUUUAAACGCUGAUAAUAGAGAAUUAGCAUACGCUGCCUAAGCUUAGGUAGCUCGUCUUUUAUAAAAAGGCCUACGGUUUCAUAAAAGGCGUCGAACAAGUAGGAUAACAAAACUAUUUUAGCUAUUAAAAUAGUGGGUAAACUAAAUAGCUAUUCAUAAAUUACAUUUGUUUGUUAAUGAAAUUUAUGGAAAAAAUAAAUAACAAACUGCACUCGGAGAAAUGUGUGUGGAAUAGAUACUGGACAGGGGUUCGACUCCCCUCAUCUCCACCA
Molecule: transfer-messenger RNA, 362 nt
Filed under: Clostridia
Lineage: Bacteria; Bacillati; Bacillota
Also listed under: 1 other name
Description: CAG-245 sp934130025 Standard tmRNA
Rfam family: transfer-messenger RNA
About the family: Bacterial tmRNA, also known as 10Sa RNA or SsrA, is named for its dual tRNA and mRNA-like properties. Its role is to liberate the mRNA from a stalled ribosome. To accomplish this part of the tmRNA is used as a reading frame that ends in a translation stop signal.
Source: RNAcentral